RNAcentral lists this transfer RNA (73 nucleotides) under Ciona intestinalis (vase tunicate). Its description in RNAcentral is "tRNA-Ile (GAT) (tRNA-Ile-GAT-1-1)". It matches the Rfam family "tRNA". Rfam says of the family: Transfer RNA (tRNA) molecules are approximately 80 nucleotides in length. Their secondary structure includes four short double-helical elements and three loops (D, anti-codon, and T loops). Further hydrogen bonds mediate the characteristic L-shaped molecular structure. tRNAs have two regions of fundamental functional importance: the anti-codon, which is responsible for specific mRNA codon recognition, and the 3' end, to which the tRNAs corresponding amino acid is attached (by aminoacyl-tRNA synthetases). tRNAs cope with the degeneracy of the genetic code in two manners: having more than one tRNA (with a specific anti-codon) for a particular amino acid; and 'wobble' base-pairing, i.e. permitting non-standard base-pairing at the 3rd anti-codon position. The record is from Rfam by way of RNAcentral. Lineage: Eukaryota; Metazoa; Chordata; Ascidiacea; Phlebobranchia; Cionidae.
GUUUCCGUAGUGUAGUGGUUUUCACGUUCGCUUGAUAUGCGAAAGGUCCCUGGUUCGAGCCCGGGCGAAAACA